AUCGAUUCCUGCACGCGCCACUAUUUUAUUAUUUUUUUUAUACUUUUUUUUCUUCGUGGUUUUCGCUUACGCACCGCGUACGAAACGUAUAGCGUAUAGAAUAUGUUGUUGCUUCGUUCUUAAGAAACAACGCAACCGUUUAGUGGUUUAGUGUUAGCUUUUAAAGCGUUGUCGGAUGAAUAGCCGUGAAGCAGGAAGAUCCGGUGUCGGACGAAU
Molecule: non-coding RNA, 216 nt
Organism: Paramuricea clavata
Lineage: Eukaryota; Metazoa; Cnidaria; Anthozoa; Malacalcyonacea; Plexauridae
Source: the annotation of a GenBank genome assembly